CCUACGGGUGGCAGCAGUGAGGAAUAUUGGUCAAUGGACGAGAGCCUGAACCAGCCAAGUAGCGUGAAGGAUGACUGCCCUAUGGGUUGUAAACUUCUUUUAUAUGGGAAUAAAAUGUUCCACGUGUGGCUUUUUGUAUGUACCAUAUGAAUAAGGAUCGGCUAACUCCGUGCCAGCAGCCGCGGUAAUACGGAGGAUCCGAGCGUUAUCCGGAUUUAUUGGGUUUAAAGGGAGCGCAGGUGGGUUGUUAAGUCAGUUGUGAAAGUUUGCGGCUCAACCGUAAAAUUGCAGUUGAAACUGGCAGUCUUGAGUACAGUAGAGGUAGGCGGAAUUCGUGGUGUAGCGGUGAAAUGCUUAGAUAUCACGAAGAACUCCGAUUGCGAAGGCAGCUCACUGGACUGCAACUGACACUGAGGCUCGAAAGUGUGGGUAUCAAACAGGAUUAGAUACCCUUGUAGUC
This 460-nucleotide ribosomal RNA is filed under the name uncultured bacterium. RNAcentral describes it as "partial 16S ribosomal RNA". It matches the Rfam family "Bacterial small subunit ribosomal RNA", at positions 338 to 795 of the family's 1533-position model. The record is from RNAcentral.